Molecule: non-coding RNA, 27 nt
Filed under: Bombyx mori (domestic silkworm)
Lineage: Eukaryota; Metazoa; Arthropoda; Insecta; Lepidoptera; Bombycidae
Source: RNAcentral
UGAAGUUUGGCCAAGCUCCUCCAGCAA